UACGUAGGUGGCAAGCGUUGUCCGGAUUUAUUGGGUUUAAAGGGUGCGUAGGCGGCCCUGUAAGUCAGUGGUGAAAUGCUCUAGCUUAACUAGAGAGGUGCCAAUGAUACUGCAGGGCUUGAGUACAGAUGAGGUAGGCGGAAUUGACGGUGUAGCGGUGAAAUGCAUAGAUAUCGUCAAGAACACCUAUAGCGAAGGCAGCUUACUGGGCUGUAACUGACACUGAGGGACGAAAGCUAGGGGAGCGAAUGGG
RNAcentral lists this ribosomal RNA (253 nucleotides) under uncultured bacterium. Its description in RNAcentral is "partial 16S ribosomal RNA". It matches the Rfam family "Bacterial small subunit ribosomal RNA", at positions 524 to 776 of the family's 1533-position model. The record is from RNAcentral.